CCUACGGGGAGCAGCAGUCGAGAAUCAUUCACAAUGGGGGAAACCCUGAUGGUGCGACGCCGCGUGGGGGAAUGAAGGUCUUCGGAUUGUAAACCCCUGUCAUGUGGGAGCAAAUUAAAAAGAUAGUACCACAAGAGGAAGAGACGGCUAACUCUGUGCCAGCAGCCGCGGUAAUACAGAGGUCUCAAGCGUUGUUCGGAAUCACUGGGUGUAAAGCGUGCGUAGGCUGUUUCGUAAGUCGUGUGUGAAAGGCGCGGGCUCAACCCGCGGACGGCACAUGAUACUGCGAGACUAGAGUAAGGGAGGGGGAACCGGAAUUCUCGGUGUAGCAGUGAAAUGCGUAGAUAUCGAGAGGAACACUCGUGGCGAAGGCGGGUUCCUGGACAUUAACUGACGCUGAGGCACGAAGGCCAGGGGGGCGAAAGGGAUUAGAUACCCGUGUAGUC
RNAcentral lists this ribosomal RNA (446 nucleotides) under uncultured bacterium. RNAcentral's name for it is "partial 16S ribosomal RNA". It matches the Rfam family "Bacterial small subunit ribosomal RNA", at positions 338 to 795 of the family's 1533-position model. The record is from RNAcentral.